This 122-nucleotide small nucleolar RNA is filed under the name Echinops telfairi (small Madagascar hedgehog). Its description in RNAcentral is "Small nucleolar RNA SNORA61 (ENSETEG00000024649.1)". Lineage: Eukaryota; Metazoa; Chordata; Mammalia; Afrosoricida; Tenrecidae. The record is from RNAcentral.
ACCCUCCAGAUUCCUUACCCCUCAGAUCUAAACAUUGGUCUGAGUGGCUAAAAAAGGUGGGAAAGUAAAACCGAAGUCAACUUGGGAGUCUUUAAUAACAUACAAAUUCAUUCCAAACAUAA